This 4168-nucleotide long non-coding RNA is filed under the name Homo sapiens (human). Its description in RNAcentral is "HSALNT0381471". Lineage: Eukaryota; Metazoa; Chordata; Mammalia; Primates; Hominidae. The record is from RNAcentral.
ACUUUGCAAAAGCAGCGAUUACCACCAACCACGAGAAACACAGGAGCCUGCCUUCCACUGUUUACCACUGGGCAGGAAGUCGUUUAUGGACCAGUCUCUUGCCCAGGCUAAACUCAGAAGUGGACACUGAGGGCCGGUUGUGGGUGCCACCAGGCAAGCUAGGGCAUCGGAGUUCAGCAGAGCUGGGUGGGAAUUCUGCUUCUCCCUCCACUACCUGGGUAACCCUGGGCAAGUCACUUAGCCUCUCCGAGCAUAAACUGGUUUGCUUGUAAUAUGCAAAUAAUAAGGGGUGGGGGAAAUUUUUUUUUUUUUUUUUGAGACAGAGUCUCGCUCUGUCACCCAGGCUGGAGUGCAGUGGCGUGAUCUCGGCUCAUUGCAACCUCCGCCUCCUGGGUUCAAGCAAUUCUCCUGCCUCAGCCUCCUGAGUAGCUGGGAUUACAGGCGCCCGCCACCACUCCCAGCUAAUUUUUGUAUUUUUAGUAGGGACGAGGUUUCACCAUGUUGGUCAGGCUGGUCUCAAACUCCUGACCUCGUGAUCUGCCCUCCUUGGCCUUCCAAAGUGCUGGGAUUACAGGCGUGAUGGAGAUGAUACUCCCUAAAUCACAAGGGUGUGGUGUGAAGAUGAAAUGGCUGCACGUGACAGAGGAGUUGGAGAACAGGAAGCAAGUGGAUUACUUGGAUGAACUGUGAUGGGCCCAAGAAGAACUAAGCCAAUCACUCCAGGGGGCGUUUUCCCAGGAUCCAGGCAGAGAGCUGAUUCCAGCAUCCACGUUGUAUCCCCCUCCCGCUGUGGCCGGGGUCUCCAAGAGCCGGGCACCCACUGCAGAGCUUCCAAGCCCAGGCCCAUUUGAACACAGGAGGACUUUUGAGGUUCAUUUAACCCCAAAAUCAGUGAUUCUACAUCUCAAGCUCAUAUUUUGAAGUGUUUACGGACCAGGGAUUUGCCAAUUAUUCUGGAUGGGCACAGGGAAGGGGCCCUCAGAUCCUGCAGAGGGAGCAUCUGAAAGACAAUGAGACCCUGUACACAACCAAGCUGAGCCUCCUCGUUGGUGCAUGCAUGGAUCCAGGAAGAGCAGGUAUUUGGACCCAACGAGACAGGUUCAUCUUGGCAGUUUGUCUCCUGUGGUUGCUUUGUGCCUGCCCCGUAUCUAUCCACCCAACUUCUGGCAGCAAUCCCUCCAGGACCCACCUCUGUCUUCAUGGUUUGUGUGUUCUGAUCCUGCUCCUUGGCCCCAGAAUACACCCUCCACAUCUAAGCUAUGCAGUGCCUCAUCCCCACAGCUGCAGCGAUUGGUUUAGGAAUGGGAAAAUAAUCCAAUCAAAGUAAGAUUGUCUAAUAUCUGAUCCCGCUUACCCCGGAGCCAGAAGUCCCACCUUUCCAGGCUCCUCCAUGUUCCUUUCUGGAGCAAUGAGGAGGAAGGUUCAUUCCCUUCUCAGGGAACUUGCUGCGGUGUCCCAGUCCUGACUGUCCCCUCUCUACCCCUGCCUGUGGCUCUCCCGUCUCCUGGCAUUCUAACCUGCCACUGAAUUCUUCCCACGCCAAACGCAGGUUAGGAACCUAAGCUCGGAUGAAAUGCUGGCUUAGACCUCAUUGCUACUGAGAAGCAGAAACCACACUUUUUAGUUGGUAGAGGUGGAUGUGGAUUGGGGCCAUAAAGUUUCCUCAAUCAUUGAAUAAGGAUUUCAUUAUUUGGACUAACUAAAUACAUUAGAUUAUUUAUACUAACUAAAUAAAUUAGAUUUAUUUUUCGAAGUUUAAAAUCAUUUUCAAUAGUGACGAAAAAGGCUGUAGAUGAGAUGGGAGAAUCUUUCGACGCCAAAUUCUUCCCAUCUCCUGCCUAGUAUGUAUCACUACACCUUGCCCAGAGAGACUGUAGGGGUGCUCAGCAAAAACCAUGGCUGGUUGAUUCCCUGGAAAAAGGGGUGCUGUCCCAGGGAGCUCUGUGCCCUUCCUGCCAACACUGGGGUCUAGAGGAGGCAAGUUCCCCUCUGAAGGUGAGUAUGAUUCACUCAUUAAAACUAAGAAAUUUACAUUGGUAUGUUACUGUUAACUAACCUACAGACUUUUUUUAGAUUUCACCGUUCUUUACACUCUCGUCCUUUCCAAUUUCCGGGAUCCAAUGCAGGAUACCAGGUUGCAUUUUUGGAUGUGUCCAGUCUGUGAUCAUUUCUCAAUCUUUCCUCAUUUUCUCAUGACUUUUGACAUUUAUUUAUUUAUUUAUUGUGUGAGACUGAGUCUCACUCUGUUGCCUAGGCUGGAGUGCAGUGGCCCCAUCCUGGCUCACUACAAUCUCCACCUCCCGGGUUCAAAUGAUUCUCCUGCCUCAGCCUCCCAAGCAGCUGGGAUUACAGGCGCACACCACCACGCCUGGCUAAUUUGUAUUUUUAGUAGAGAUGGGGUUUCACCAUGUUAGCCAGGCUGGUCUCAAACUCCUGACUUCAGGUGAUCUGCCUGCCUCGGCCUCCCAAAGUGCUAGGAUUACAGGCGCAGGCCACCACGCCCAGCCUGACUUCUGACAUUAGAGUACAGGGAGGGAUUCUGUAGAAUGUCCCUCAAUUUGGGUGUGUCUGGUGUUUUGCCAUGAGACUGGGGUUAUGCUUCUGGGUGCCACACAGAGGUGAAAUGUCCUUCUCAUCACAUUAUUCGAGAGGUACAUGGUACCAAUGGGACUUAUCGCUGCUGAUGUUAACCUUGAUCUCUUGGUUCAGGUGGUGCCUGCCAGCUGUCUCCACUGUGGAGUUACUAUUUUUCCUUUUCCCCAUUUUAUUCAUCAGAAGCCAGUCACUAAGCGAGGUCAAACUCCAGGACAGGGGAAUUAAGUGCCACCUUCUGGAGAGGGAGCAUUCACAUUUAUUACUUGGGAUCCUUCUGUAAGGAAGAGCUGUUUCUCCUCUAAAAAACUCUUUAAUCCUUUUAAGCCUCAAUUUCUUAAUUGUGAAAUGGGGCUAAUACCUGUAUCCAACCAAGGGAGUAGUUAGAAGGUAACAUGAUAGGUGGAAAGCACUUAACAUAGGCAAAAUGUUAUUAUCAGGAAUGAUCGAGAGACCCAUCCAACUAUCUGAAGGAGUCACUUAACUCUACUGUACUGCAGCGCUGUAAAGUCUGCAUCUUUCACUGGGGGUAAAGGCCCCCAGUCCCUGAGACGGGCCAGUUUGGAGACAGGCUGGUUUUUUCUCUGUUCUCCUGAGAGCCCUUCAGAUGAGAAGGGAGGUCUGGAGACAGAAUGCCAAAAGCCCAUUAAAGGCACGGCCUUGCAUUUCAGAGAGGGAGCAGGUCUAGAGAAGAACCAGAGGAGCUCAGCUGAGAUAUGGUGUAUGGAUUGGAUUUUGGUAGAAGAUGGGAAGAACCAAACACCUGAGAAACCACUUUGAAGAUCGGGGUCAGACUGCCUUUGUGAUCCCGCGCCCCGGUCCUCGGCCUCUCACCUCCAGCGCCGGGGCGCCCCCUGCUGUCGGAAGCGGCUGUGACCGGGCAGAGGUGCUAUCUGGGACUCUGGGUUCUCAGCCCGGGGACAGCGAACCGAGGGGCAGAUGAUCCAUCAGAAAAGAGCCGGCACUGCCCAGCCCCGCGCCCCUGCCCCUGCCUUUUUCCGGGAGCGCGCCGCGCCGCACCCGCUACGGCCGCUUGACCCCAUCUUUGAGCCCGGCCCCAAGCUCUGGGACCGUCGUGCCCCUCAUCAAGGAAGAGCCAAGGACCCCAAGGAGAAGAGAAAGGAGUUCAUGAAGGCAGAAAUGCCUGGGGCCCACGAACAUCCCAGUGUGGCCCUGGACGGGACAUCAUGCUGGGCAACACAGCUAAAAUGCGGGUGAAGACCAGAUUUCUUGCACAUGGCGGUGACGGGAUGCUCCCUAGAGAGCUUCAAGUGGAUUCUUUGCUUUUUAUUUUCUCUCUUAAUAAAAAUGUAUGAUGUUUACAUUGUCAGAGAACAAACAGAACUGUGGCUUGUGUUUCAUGUCUUACGAAAUGGGUCUUGUGUACUUUUGGCUGUUCUUUCAUGUUCUUAGCAGUUAUAGAUUUGGCCCCUCUGGAAUGGAGGGGCCAUAUAUCAGGGGGUUUGGGGCAGGGGACACGGCCCUCUGUUCACCCUGCCCUCCCUGAUAGGUUGAUUUAUCUCCCUGCAAUCCCUUAUUCGCCUUCCGGGCUGGUCUCCUUCCCAGUCCGAGAUCU